RNAcentral lists this transfer RNA (74 nucleotides) under uncultured archaeon. RNAcentral describes it as "tRNA-Val(tac)". It matches the Rfam family "tRNA". From Rfam's summary of the family: Transfer RNA (tRNA) molecules are approximately 80 nucleotides in length. The record is from RNAcentral.
GGGCUCGUAGCCUAGCGGUUAUGGCAUCACCCUUACAAGGUGGGGGUCGUCGGUUCGAAUCCGACCGGGCCCAC